GGUUAAGCGACUAAGCGUACACGGUGGAUGCCCUGGCAGUCAGAGGCGAUGAAGGACGUGCUAAUCUGCGAAAAGCGUCGGUAAGGUGAUAUGAACCGUUACAGCCGGCGAUGUCCGAAUGGGGAAACCCAGUGCAAUUCGUUGCACUAUCGUUAACUGAAUACAUAGGUUAACGAGGCGAACCGGGGGAACUGAAACAUCUAAGUACCCCGAGGAAAAGAAAUCAACCGAGAUUCCCCCAGUAGCGGCGAGCGAACGGGGAGCAGCCCAGAGUCUGAAUCAGCUUGUGUGUUAGUGGAACGGUCUGGAAAGUCCGACGGUACAGGGUGAUAGUCCCGUACACCAAAAUGCACAGGUUGUGAACUCGAAGAGUAGGGCGGGACACGUGGUAUCCUGUCUGAAUAUGGGGGGACCAUCCUCCAAGGCUAAAUACUCCUGACUGACCGAUAGUGAACCAGUACCGUGAGGGAAAGGCGAAAAGAACCCCGGCGAGGGGAGUGAAAAAGAACCUGAAACCGUGUACGUACAAGCAGUGGGAGCACCUUUAUGGUGUGACUGCGUACCUUUUGUAUAAUGGGUCAGCGACUUAUAUUCUGUAGCAAGGUUAACCGUAUAGGGGAGCCGCAGGGAAACCGAGUCUUAACUGGGCGUUAAGUUGCAGGGUAUAGACCCGAAACCCGGUGAUCUAGCCAUGGGCAGGUUGAAGGUUGGGUAACACUAACUGGAGGACCGAACCGACUAAUGUUGAAAAAUUAGCGGAUGACUUGUGGCUGGGGGUGAAAGGCCAAUCAAACCGGGAGAUAGCUGGUUCUCCCCGAAAGCUAUUUAGGUAGCGCCUCGUGAACUCAUCUUCGGGGGUAGAGCACUGUUUCGGCUAGGGGGUCAUCCCGACUUACCAACCCGAUGCAAACUACGAAUACCGAAGAAUGUUAUCACGGGAGACACACGGCGGGUGCUAACGUCCGUCGUGAAGAGGGAAACAACCCAGACCGCCAGCUAAGGUCCCAAAGUCAUGGUUAAGUGGGAAACGAUGUGGGAAGGCACAGACAGCCAGGAUGUUGGCUUAGAAGCAGCCAUCAUUUAAAGAAAGCGUAAUAGCUCACUGGUCGAGUCGGCCUGCGCGGAAGAUGUAACGGGGCUAAACCAUGCACCGAAGCUGCGGCAGCGACACUAUGUGUUGUUGGGUAGGGGAGCGUUCUGUAAGCCUGCGAAGGUGACCUGUGAGGGUUGCUGGAGGUAUCAGAAGUGCGAAUGCUGACAUAAGUAACGAUAAAGCGGGUGAAAAGCCCGCUCGCCGGAAGACCAAGGGUUCCUGUCCAACGUUAAUCGGGGCAGGGUGAGUCGACCCCUAAGGCGAGGCCGAAAGGCGUAGUCGAUGGGAAACAGGUUAAUAUUCCUGUACUUGGUGUUACUGCGAAGGGGGGACGGAGAAGGCUAUGUUAGCCGGGCGACGGUUGUCCCGGUUUAAGCAUGUAGGCUGGUUAUCCAGGCAAAUCCGGAUAAUCAAGGCUGAGGUGUGAUGACGAGGUACUACGGUGCUGAAGUAACAAAUGCCCUGCUUCCAGGAAAAGCCUCUAAGCAUCAGGUAACAUCAAAUCGUACCCCAAACCGACACAGGUGGUCAGGUAGAGAAUACCAAGGCGCUUGAGAGAACUCGGGUGAAGGAACUAGGCAAAAUGGUGCCGUAACUUCGGGAGAAGGCACGCUGGUGUGUAGGUGAAGUCCCUGCGGAUGGAGCUGAGACCAGUCGAAGAUACCAGCUGGCUGCAACUGUUUAUUAAAAACACAGCACUGUGCAAACACGAAAGUGGACGUAUACGGUGUGACGCCUGCCCGGUGCCGGAAGGUUAAUUGAUGGGGUUAUCCGUAAGGAGAAGCUCUUGAUCGAAGCCCCGGUAAACGGCGGCCGUAACUAUAACGGUCCUAAGGUAGCGAAAUUCCUUGUCGGGUAAGUUCCGACCUGCACGAAUGGCGUAAUGAUGGCCAGGCUGUCUCCACCCGAGACUCAGUGAAAUUGAACUCGCUGUGAAGAUGCAGUGUACCCGCGGCAAGACGGAAAGACCCCGUGAACCUUUACUAUAGCUUGACACUGAACAUUGAGCCUUGAUGUGUAGGAUAGGUGGGAGGCUUUGAAGCGUGGACGCCAGUCUGCGUGGAGCCAACCUUGAAAUACCACCCUUUAAUGUUUGAUGUUCUAACGUUGGCCCCUAAUCGGGGUUGCGGACAGUGUCUGGUGGGUAGUUUGACUGGGGCGGUCUCCUCCCAAAGCGUAACGGAGGAGCACGAAGGUUAGCUAAUCCUGGUCGGACAUCAGGAGGUUAGUGCAAUGGCAUAAGCUAGCUUGACUGCGAGCGUGACGGCGCGAGCAGGUGCGAAAGCAGGUCAUAGUGAUCCGGUGGUUCUGAAUGGAAGGGCCAUCGCUCAACGGAUAAAAGGUACUCCGGGGAUAACAGGCUGAUACCGCCCAAGAGUUCAUAUCGACGGCGGUGUUUGGCACCUCGAUGUCGGCUCAUCACAUCCUGGGGCUGAAGUAGGUCCCAAGGGUAUGGCUGUUCGCCAUUUAAAGUGGUACGCGAGCUGGGUUUAGAACGUCGUGAGACAGUUCGGUCCCUAUCUGCCGUGGGCGCUGGAGAAUUGAGGGGGGCUGCUCCUAGUACGAGAGGACCGGAGUGGACGCAUCACUGGUGUUCGGGUUGUCAUGCCAAUGGCACUGCCCGGUAGCUAAAUGCGGAAGAGAUAAGUGCUGAAAGCAUCUAAGCACGAAACUUGCCCCGAGAUGAGUUCUCCCUGAGACUUUAAGUCUCCUGAAGGAACGUUAAAGACGAUGACGUUGAUAGGCCGGGUGUGUAAGCGCAGCGAUGCGUUGAGCUAACCGGUACUAAUGAACCGUGAGGCUUAACCUU
This 2903-nucleotide ribosomal RNA is filed under the name Klebsiella quasipneumoniae. RNAcentral's name for it is "23S ribosomal RNA". It matches the Rfam family "Bacterial large subunit ribosomal RNA". Lineage: Bacteria; Pseudomonadati; Pseudomonadota; Gammaproteobacteria; Enterobacterales; Enterobacteriaceae. The record is from RNAcentral.